This is a long non-coding RNA of Osmia bicornis bicornis, 3203 nucleotides long. RefSeq lists it as uncharacterized. The record is from RefSeq and is a predicted model, not a curated record. NCBI's taxonomy places the organism in Eukaryota, Metazoa, Arthropoda, Insecta, Hymenoptera, Megachilidae. The transcript is spliced from 12 exons.
UUUCUGUAACACGCCUAUCGACCCUAUCGAAAUUUAACAUUUAUUGUAUAUCGAUUACAAAUCGAGGAGGAUUUUUACACUCGAAAGAGUAAUCUCUUAUGGGACCAAUUUCACAAUUAUAGAAUUUGUUUUAUUAAAAAAGCGUCUGUUAUUUCUUUUUUUUCGUAUUGUUGUAAAUUUCAAUCUUGACAAAGUGAGAAUACACGUAAGUACUACUUUGGCGGUGACCUACAUAGAUCGACAACGUGAUCGAUGGUCGAUUUACUAGUCGAUCGAUGGUACUAUUUUCAAACGAAUUCUCGAAGUAAGAGAAAGUUUAAACGAAUAGAAGAUAAACAAUUGUUGCGAAAAGGCAUGAUAUAAUGGCUAAUGGAUAUAAUAAGGUUAGCGAUAUAAUGGUGAUAAAGGUUAACUUGGUUUAAGGUCAAUAUCGAAAUACUUGGCGAUCAGUUGAAACAUUUCAGGCGGUACCAUUAUCUUAUUAUUGAAAACAUAGUGAGUAGUUGUUAAUGUAUUACAGCAUCAUCGAUGAACCAUCCAGUUUCUAUAUAAAAACAACGUGAAAUAGAUAGCAAAUGUAACGCAAAAAGAAGAGCACAAUGUCAUGAGAAAAGUCAACGUCCGAGACGCGGUCAGUGCUAUUGUACUCGACUGUACAGUACAUCAAGCAGAGCAUUUUUAAUGAAUCCACUGAAUUUCAAUUUUGAUGCUCAACAAUACUUACUUUCUCAUCUCGCGAAAGGAAUUCCCACAUUGGUAUCGCGGAAGCAGUGGCACAUAAUGCACACUCUUUUUACACGUACCGUUAGUUUAGAUACGUAGAUCUAUCGCACAGAUAUUAUUGAUGUAAAAUCAGUGGUCGUCGAGCCAAGAGUGUUUGUAUUACAAACACCAAACUGACGACGAGAGUAUAAUUACAAGGAUUGAAUAUCAAUUGAAUAUUUCAUUUAUUGAUAAAUGAAAUAUUAAUAACACGAUUAUCGCUAGAAACUUCACGUGGCCACAAAUGAACGAAUGUAAGAACGAUACAGCCCACUCUGUUCGUAAGCUGUUUGCGAACUGGCUUGAUUUCUUUGCGUCCCUGAUUAUAUGUUCUUAUGCGCGUGACGUCUGCGCAGUUCGAGUCCCCACCCCUUCUACUUUUCGAACAGAAUUCCCUUGGUCCAUCAGACUCGUAUUUAAAAAAAAAUAUAUGUUUUUAUAUUUCUUGUAUCCUAUUAAUCAUGUUACAAGACUUCGAUGCAUUGAAACAUGCACAGUUGGAAACAAGUAAUACAACCGUAGAGGAGAGGAAGCUGGUUCGAAAUCUGCCUUGAAAGAAUCCAAUCUUGUUCAUCCGGUUCUCUUGGCUACUUUGAGCUAACAAGUCCUUAGAAAAUCCUGUCCUUCAGAGAACCACGUCCUUCGCGAAAUAUUUGCCAAGACGUUUGAAAGAAGAAAAAUAAUUGUGAUCGUAGGAUGGAACAAUGCGUUGCGCAGCUGCAACUUUCGGUAUUAAUGGGUUAAUGAUAAUGGUAGAAAAACAAUAACGCAUUGCAAGCCGGAACAGAGGCGACGGCACUUUUCUAUGACGAUGACCAACGUGAGAAUUAAAAUGCCGCAGACUUUCGCACAUGAAUUCGCGCCAGCACAGGCAUAUACACAAUGGAAUGAGGAACCUUGUAUCAUUCGCUGUACGUCCACGAUGUAUACGUGUGUCUGUUACCACACCGUUCCAGGUAAUCUUGAUUACUUGGAGGCUCGCUGCACAUUUAACAGUCAGCAUGCAGUCAUCCUGCUAUUAUGUCAUUCGGAUCCUAUGUACAAGAAUAGAUCUAUCUCAACGGUUCUAGAACUAUGAACUUUUAAAACUGUAUUUAAAAGAAAAAUCAUUGCAGACUCACGAUGGUUUCACAUUACCGUGAUUUUCUUGAAAUAGAAUGACAGAAAAGUCGAACAUGGUGAUUCGACGGGCAAGUAUGUUCUACUUUCCAAAUCAAUUAAUCGUCCGUAACCUGGAAUGGCUGGAUGCUCACGGGCGUUAACCUUCUGCACCUCUGAUUUAUAAAUUUCCAUUAUACAUUUCACGGAUCAGCUGAGCAGAAAUUACACUAACCAGGCCAAGGGUAUUCCUGAUAAAUCUUGAUUGAUUUUUAAUCGAUGACAAACUACUGAUAGCAUUCAUCGAUCGUCAACGUUUUCAUUCAUUUUUUUUUUCUAGCAUUAUCAUACGAAUAACAAAAAUACUGCUGAUAUAUUGAUUUAUUUAUGGAAGAACGGUAAACGAUCCGGUGCGAGGAUUUUAGAAUUGCAUCCGAAUGGAAUGUAGGACGAUCAUGAUGAGGAAAUGGACUUGUUGUAUAGCGCAAAAGGGAAUGGAAAUCGCUUCCUCUUUUCAUCGCAACGAUUGGACGGUCAUCCGAGAUCGAGAGGCAACGAAUUCGGAAGCUGAUCGUAUAAGUAGUUCAAUGGUGACAUUUUUGCCGAAUAUUAUGGUUUCCUUGAAAUCCAUCUACGUAACUGCAUACUCAAGUGGAUCCUUAAUUUUUGAAAUACUUUAUAAUAAAGAUCAUCAAACAUGUUGGAACUAUUAUAAUGGCUUCGUCAUUGAUUCAAAACAAAUUGAAGGAUGUUGUAUUAUAUUUGAAUAUUUAAAACGCGACUGAUAAAUGAAACUAGAUGGAAUGUUUACCUCUCGAAUAAUUCAUAGAGAGGAGUUAUAAUAAUGCACGAUGCAACAAAAUGAAAUUUAUCAGAUGUCACAUAAACAGGAAAAAAUUUCAUAUAAAUGUAUUUUGAUUAUCAUCCAGAUUAUGCAUACGGUAUUAAAUGAGUUACGGUUUGUUAUUGGUAACGGACAGUGUCAGCGAACAGGAUAAUUAUGCGUAAAAUUUUUGGCGCCCGGAAUGACGUGAGAAUCGUGGCGCCGCUUAAGAAUGCAGAACCUAUCGGUCUACGGAACAUUGUUAAGGAUUGAUUAACGAGUAUACUGGAACGACUGAAAAAUUCCCGAGGAUCGGCAUGACGUUUUGAUGCAGUUACUCCACAAACCUCAUCACCUUCAGCUACACAUUCAUCAAACUGCUCUCCAAUAGCUGCAAGCACCACUUCUUUCCAAAUCUUUUCCUAAAAACAUAAGGAACUUAUGAUUUUGUUCCUCCCACAAUGGAUAUCUUUCAUCUCUCAUCAAAUGAUAAUUCCAUCUCACCUGUAACAGAAAUAAA